RNAcentral lists this ribosomal RNA (2911 nucleotides) under Bacillus cereus. RNAcentral describes it as "bacterial LSU rRNA". It matches the Rfam family "Bacterial large subunit ribosomal RNA". Lineage: Bacteria; Bacillati; Bacillota; Bacilli; Caryophanales; Bacillaceae. The record is from RNAcentral.
GAAAGGGCGCACGGUGGAUGCCUUGACACUAGGAGUCGAUGAAGGACGGGACUAACGCCGAUAUGCUUCGGGGAGCUGUAAGUAAGCUUUGAUCCGAAGAUUUCCGAAUGGGGAAACCCACCAUACGUAAUGGUAUGGUAUCCUUAUCUGAAUACAUAGGGUAAGGAAGACAGACCCAGGGAACUGAAACAUCUAAGUACCUGGAGGAAGAGAAAGCAAAUGCGAUUUCCUGAGUAGCGGCGAGCGAAACGGAACAUAGCCCAAACCAAGAGGCUUGCCUCUUGGGGUUGUAGGACAUUCUAUACGGAGUUACAAAGGAACGAGGUAGACGAAGCGACCUGGAAAGGUCCGUCGUAGAGGGUAACAACCCCGUAGUCGAAACUUCGUUCUCUCUUGAAUGUAUCCUGAGUACGGCGGAACACGUGAAAUUCCGUCGGAAUCUGGGAGGACCAUCUCCCAAGGCUAAAUACUCCCUAGUGAUCGAUAGUGAACCAGUACCGUGAGGGAAAGGUGAAAAGCACCCCGGAAGGGGAGUGAAAGAGAUCCUGAAACCGUGUGCCUACAAAUAGUCAGAGCCCGUUAACGGGUGAUGGCGUGCCUUUUGUAGAAUGAACCGGCGAGUUACGAUCCCGUGCGAGGUUAAGCUGAAGAGGCGGAGCCGCAGCGAAAGCGAGUCUGAAUAGGGCGUUUAGUACGUGGUCGUAGACCCGAAACCAGGUGAUCUACCCAUGUCCAGGGUGAAGUUCAGGUAACACUGAAUGGAGGCCCGAACCCACGCACGUUGAAAAGUGCGGGGAUGAGGUGUGGGUAGCGGAGAAAUUCCAAUCGAACCUGGAGAUAGCUGGUUCUCCCCGAAAUAGCUUUAGGGCUAGCCUUAAGUGUAAGAGUCUUGGAGGUAGAGCACUGAUUGGACUAGGGGUCCUCAUCGGAUUACCGAAUUCAGUCAAACUCCGAAUGCCAAUGACUUAUCCUUAGGAGUCAGACUGCGAGUGAUAAGAUCCGUAGUCAAAAGGGAAACAGCCCAGACCGCCAGCUAAGGUCCCAAAGUGUGUAUUAAGUGGAAAAGGAUGUGGAGUUGCUUAGACAACUAGGAUGUUGGCUUAGAAGCAGCCACCAUUUAAAGAGUGCGUAAUAGCUCACUAGUCGAGUGACUCUGCGCCGAAAAUGUACCGGGGCUAAAUACACCACCGAAGCUGCGGAUUGAUACCGAAUGGUAUCAGUGGUAGGGGAGCGUUCUAAGGACAGUGAAGUCAGACCGUAAGGACUGGUGGAGUGCUUAGAAGUGAGAAUGCCGGUAUGAGUAGCGAAAGACGGGUGAGAAUCCCGUCCACCGAAUGCCUAAGGUUUCCUGAGGAAGGCUCGUCCGCUCAGGGUUAGUCAGGACCUAAGCCGAGGCCGACAGGCGUAGGCGAUGGACAACAGGUUGAUAUUCCUGUACCACCUCUUUAUCGUUUGAGCAAUGGAGGGACGCAGAAGGAUAGAAGAAGCGUGCGAUUGGUUGUGCACGUCCAAGCAGUUAGGCUGAUAAGUAGGCAAAUCCGCUUAUCAUAAAGGCUGAGCUGUGAUGGGGAAGCUCCUUAUGGAGCGAAGUCUUUGAUUCCCCGCUGCCAAGAAAAGCUUCUAGCGAGAUAAAAGGUGCCUGUACCGCAAACCGACACAGGUAGGCGAGGAGAGAAUCCUAAGGUGUGCGAGAGAACUCUGGUUAAGGAACUCGGCAAAAUGACCCCGUAACUUCGGGAGAAGGGGUGCUUUCUUAACGGAAAGCCGCAGUGAAUAGGCCCAAGCGACUGUUUAGCAAAAACACAGCUCUCUGCGAAGCCGUAAGGCGAAGUAUAGGGGGUGACACCUGCCCGGUGCUGGAAGGUUAAGGAGAGGGGUUAGCGUAAGCGAAGCUCUGAACUGAAGCCCCAGUAAACGGCGGCCGUAACUAUAACGGUCCUAAGGUAGCGAAAUUCCUUGUCGGGUAAGUUCCGACCCGCACGAAAGGUGUAACGAUUUGGGCACUGUCUCAACCAGAGACUCGGUGAAAUUAUAGUACCUGUGAAGAUGCAGGUUACCCGCGACAGGACGGAAAGACCCCGUGGAGCUUUACUGUAGCCUGAUAUUGAAUUUUGGUACAGUUUGUACAGGAUAGGCGGGAGCCAUUGAAACCGGAGCGCUAGCUUCGGUGGAGGCGCUGGUGGGAUACCGCCCUGACUGUAUUGAAAUUCUAACCUACGGGUCUUAUCGACCCGGGAGACAGUGUCAGGUGGGCAGUUUGACUGGGGCGGUCGCCUCCUAAAGUGUAACGGAGGCGCCCAAAGGUUCCCUCAGAAUGGUUGGAAAUCAUUCGUAGAGUGCAAAGGCAUAAGGGAGCUUGACUGCGAGACCUACAAGUCGAGCAGGGACGAAAGUCGGGCUUAGUGAUCCGGUGGUUCCGCAUGGAAGGGCCAUCGCUCAACGGAUAAAAGCUACCCCGGGGAUAACAGGCUUAUCUCCCCCAAGAGUCCACAUCGACGGGGAGGUUUGGCACCUCGAUGUCGGCUCAUCGCAUCCUGGGGCUGUAGUCGGUCCCAAGGGUUGGGCUGUUCGCCCAUUAAAGCGGUACGCGAGCUGGGUUCAGAACGUCGUGAGACAGUUCGGUCCCUAUCCGUCGUGGGCGUAGGAAAUUUGAGAGGAGCUGUCCUUAGUACGAGAGGACCGGGAUGGACGCACCGCUGGUGUACCAGUUGUUCUGCCAAGGGCAUAGCUGGGUAGCUAUGUGCGGAAGGGAUAAGUGCUGAAAGCAUCUAAGCAUGAAGCCCCCCUCAAGAUGAGAUUUCCCAUAGCGUAAGCUAGUAAGAUCCCUGAAAGAUGAUCAGGUUGAUAGGUUCGAGGUGGAAGCAUGGUGACAUGUGGAGCUGACGAAUACUAAUAGAUCGAGGACUUAACC